Musa acuminata subsp. malaccensis (wild Malaysian banana) is the source of this 546-nucleotide non-coding RNA. NCBI's taxonomy places the organism in Eukaryota, Viridiplantae, Streptophyta, Magnoliopsida, Zingiberales, Musaceae. The record is from RefSeq and is a predicted model, not a curated record.
UAUAUUUAGUAUGUAAUUCAUGAUAUAAUUCCAUCUGCACAGCUACUUGUCUGUCUCUAAGUUUGCACGGAACUGGCAGAUCGACCAAUAGUGGGUGCAGUUUUGUCAAGAACUUUGAUGAUUAAAUCGGAUAGACCAAGUAGUGGAAGAGACACCGGUGAAGAUGAGAUCGCAGAACAAAGGCCUUUGCUUGUAACAGAUAUCAACUUUUUAAAUGCAUCUUGUGCCUGAAGAUCUUCCAAACACUUGAGUAGGCACCAUUAAAGUUCUUAUCAACCCUGCAGGAGUAAUGAUGGUAACUAAAUUUACCACUCUCUUCAAUGGUGCUUGAACUGAACAGAGGAGCUGCCACCAUCAUUUUAAUGCAUUAUAGAUUUAUAGUACCGAGGUCAUCUUUCCUUUUAUGUAGAUGUGUAGGUUGCUGUUUUUGUAGGUGAUGCUCUCUUGUAGAAAUGCUCCUGUUUAUGUUUUUUGUAUGUAUGUUUUUUUUGUUAUGGUUUUACAUUUGAAGGGUAUGAGAUUAGAUUAUUAGAUUUCUUGUGAUUA